This 465-nucleotide ribosomal RNA is filed under the name Vreelandella stevensii. RNAcentral describes it as "partial 16S ribosomal RNA". It matches the Rfam family "Bacterial small subunit ribosomal RNA", at positions 338 to 795 of the family's 1533-position model. The record is from RNAcentral. Lineage: Bacteria; Pseudomonadati; Pseudomonadota; Gammaproteobacteria; Oceanospirillales; Halomonadaceae.
CCUACGGGUGGCAGCAGUGGGGAAUAUUGGACAAUGGGGGCAACCCUGAUCCAGCCAUGCCGCGUGUGUGAAGAAGGCCCUCGGGUUGUAAAGCACUUUCAGUGAGGAAGAACGCCUGGUGGUUAAUACCCAUCAGGAAAGACAUCACUCACAGAAGAAGCACCGGCUAACUCCGUGCCAGCAGCCGCGGUAAUACGGAGGGUGCGAGCGUUAAUCGGAAUUACUGGGCGUAAAGCGCGCGUAGGUGGCUUGAUAAGCCGGUUGUGAAAGCCCCGGGCUCAACCUGGGAACGGCAUCCGGAACUGUCAAGCUAGAGUGAAGGAGAGGAAGGUAGAAUUCCCGGGGUAGCGGUGAAAUGCGUAGAGAUCGGGAGGAAUACCAGUGGCGAAGGCGGCCUUCUGGACUGACACUGACACUGAGGUGCGAAAGCGUGGGUAGCAAACAGGAUUAGAUACCCUGGUAGUC